UGGGGAAUAUUGCACAAUGGGCGCAAGCCUGAUGCAGCCUUGCCGCGUGUGUGAAGAAGGCCUUCGGGUUGUAAAGCACUUUCAGCGGGGAGGAAGGCGAUAAGGUUAAUAACCUUGUCGAUUGACGUUACCCGCAGAAGAAGCACCGGCUAACUCCGUGCCAGCAGCCGCGGUAAUACGGAGGGUGCAAGCGUUAAUCGGAAUUACUGGGCGUAAAGCGCACGCAGGCGGUCUGUCAAGUCGGAUGUGAAAUCCCCGGGCUCAACCUGGGAACUGCAUUCGAAACUGGCAGGCUAGAGUCUUGGAGAGGGGGGUAGAAUUCCAGGUGUAGCGGUGAAAUGCGUAGAGAUCUGGAGGAAGACCGGUGGCGAAGGCGGCCCCCUGGACAAAGACUGACGCUCAGGUGCGAAAGCGUGGGGAGCAAACAGG
RNAcentral lists this ribosomal RNA (429 nucleotides) under Chloroflexota bacterium. RNAcentral describes it as "Chloroflexi bacterium partial 16S ribosomal RNA". It matches the Rfam family "Bacterial small subunit ribosomal RNA", at positions 355 to 776 of the family's 1533-position model. The record is from RNAcentral. Lineage: Bacteria; Bacillati; Chloroflexota.